GACGAACGCUGGCGGCGUGCUUAACACAUGCAAGUCGAACGGAAAGACCCUGCUUUUGUGGGGUGCUCGAGUGGCGAACGGGUGAGUAACACGUGAGUAACCUGCCCUUGACUUUGGGAUAACUUCAGGAAACUGGGGCUAAUACCGGAUAGGAGCUCCUGCUGCAUGGUGGGGGUUGGAAAGUUUCGGCGGUUGGGGAUGGACUCGCGGCUUAUCAGCUUGUUGGUGGGGUAGUGGCUUACCAAGGCUUUGACGGGUAGCCGGCCUGAGAGGGUGACCGGCCACAUUGGGACUGAGAUACGGCCCAGACUCCUACUGGAGGCAGCAGUGGGGAAUAUUGCACAAUGGGCGGAAGCCUGAUGCAGCAACGCCGCGUGCGGGAUGACGGCCUUCGGGUUGUAAACCGCUUUCGCCUGUGACGAAGCGUGAGUGACGGUAAUGGGUAAAGAAGCACCGGCUAACUACGUG
This 468-nucleotide ribosomal RNA is filed under the name uncultured bacterium. RNAcentral describes it as "partial 16S ribosomal RNA". It matches the Rfam family "Bacterial small subunit ribosomal RNA", at positions 28 to 507 of the family's 1533-position model. The record is from RNAcentral.